GGGUCGGCUCGAGCUGUUUCGACCUAUUUUAAAAACUUUCAUUCGGUCUCCGAGACGUCUCCGCGACUAAUGCGAGACGUCUCGUCGGGGAGACGUCUCUGUGAUUUGCCAGAGACGUCUCCGGCACUGAAAAAUUUCAGAAUGAUUUCUAUCUUUUCCCAAUUUAUUUUAUUCAACCACAAUAAUCAGUGUGAUUUCUUUUAGUGAAUAUAGAGUGAGUUUGCUUGUGAUCCUUCCCUUCAAUAAUAUAUCCUAUAAAAGUUUGAUAAUGAUUUUUGAAUUAUCAAUAUUGAAAUGAGGAAUGUUUGACCAAAUUU
Molecule: long non-coding RNA, 317 nt
Filed under: Phoenix dactylifera (date palm)
Lineage: Eukaryota; Viridiplantae; Streptophyta; Magnoliopsida; Arecales; Arecaceae
Description: long non-coding RNA (PDAC_LNC012617)
Source: RNAcentral